CUGAUUGCUUCUCUAAGAGUGAAGAGACAACAGUGCUGGGCAACACAGCCAUGAAUAAAUGGCUGCAGGGAGCCAGAAGCUGAAGUGAUUUUUAGGGGCAAAGAUACCUCCUCAGCAUUGAAUGUGAUUGCUGUGCUGAAAUGAUCCUUGGGAAAUGAUGCGGUUUAAAAAAUGGAUACUCCUCCAGCUUGUCUCUCUGAUACUGUGACCUGGAGACAAGUCAUUUCUCUAAUGAGGCUGUGCAAACAUCAUGUGUUCCUAUGUGGAAAGAAGUGGAGAUGGCCAGGAGCAACAGGGCACAAAGAAGAUAGGUUUGAGCAAGGCCUCAUCGCCCACCAGCCUUUGGAAAUGAGCCUCAACCACUGCUUUGAACUGCAGGACAGAGAACACGGAGGGA
Molecule: long non-coding RNA, 397 nt
Organism: Nothoprocta perdicaria
Lineage: Eukaryota; Metazoa; Chordata; Aves; Tinamiformes; Tinamidae
Exons: 3
Source: RefSeq, a predicted model, not a curated record